GCUCCAGUUAAGGCCUACUGGGGCCUGGGGUUGAACUCAAGGGGCUAACCCAAAGUAAAAGCUGAGCUGCUGUGUCUUCACUGCCAUUUAUGACCCAAGUUAUGAGCACCCUUCUUUCUGCAGUGUAGAUUGUGAUGGAAGCUGAGCCUCGAAGGAAGAGGUGGCCGGCAGCCUCUGCAAGUGAAAAACUGGAAGAAGGGCAGAGGUGCACACAAAUAUAGGAGCUGCUAUCCCAGUCAGACCAGGGAUGCAUCCAGGCCGGUCUUGUCUCUAACCGUGGACAGGAGCAGGUGCAAGAUGCCCCACACUCUGAAUGCUGGUGGAACCUGCCCAUACGGGUGAUCGCAUUGUCCAUAUGAACAUCCAAUUGGCUCUUGAACCUACAGAGAGCUCUGGGCCUCCAUGGUAUUUUGUGGCAAUGAGUUCCACAGAGUAACUGCUGAGUUUAAAAUGCUUCCUUUAAUCUGUUUUAAAUGUGUUACCUUUGAAGUUCAGUGUU
Molecule: long non-coding RNA, 499 nt
Organism: Mauremys reevesii (Reeves's turtle)
Lineage: Eukaryota; Metazoa; Chordata; Testudines; Geoemydidae
Exons: 3
Source: RefSeq, a predicted model, not a curated record